Molecule: ribosomal RNA, 1501 nt
Filed under: metagenome
Description: bacterial SSU rRNA
Rfam family: Bacterial small subunit ribosomal RNA
Source: RNAcentral
AGAGUUUGAUCAUGGCUCAGAUUGAACGCUGGCGGCAGGCCUAACACAUGCAAGUCGAACGGUAACAGGAAGCAGCUUGCUGCUUCGCUGACGAGUGGCGGACGGGUGAGUAAUGUCUGGGAAGCUGCCUGAUGGAGGGGGAUAACUACUGGAAACGGUAGCUAAUACCGCAUAAUGUCGCAAGACCAAAGAGGGGGACCUUCGGGCCUCUUGCCAUCGGAUGUGCCCAGAUGGGAUUAGCUUGUUGGUGGGGUAACGGCUCACCAAGGCGACGAUCCCUAGCUGGUCUGAGAGGAUGACCAGCCACACUGGAACUGAGACACGGUCCAGACUCCUACGGGAGGCAGCAGUGGGGAAUAUUGCACAAUGGGCGCAAGCCUGAUGCAGCCAUGCCGCGUGUAUGAAGAAGGCCUUCGGGUUGUAAAGUACUUUCAGCGGGGAGGAAGGGAGUAAAGUUAAUACCUUUGCUCAUUGACGUUACCCGCAGAAGAAGCACCGGCUAACUCCGUGCCAGCAGCCGCGGUAAUACGGAGGGUGCAAGCGUUAAUCGGAAUUACUGGGCGUAAAGCGCACGCAGGCGGUUUGUUAAGUCAGAUGUGAAAUCCCCGGGCUCAACCUGGGAACUGCAUCUGAUACUGGCAAGCUUGAGUCUGAGUAGAGGGGGGUAGAAUUCCAGGUGUAGCGGUGAAAUGCGUAGAGAUCUGGAGGAAUACCGGUGGCGAAGGCGGCCCCCUGGACGAAGACUGACGCUCAGGUGCGAAAGCGUGGGGAGCAAACAGGAUUAGAUACCCUGGUAGUCCACGCCGUAAACGAUGUCGACUUGGAGGUUGUGCCCUUGAGGCGUGGCUUCCGGAGCUAACGCGUUAAGUCGACCGCCUGGGGAGUACGGCCGCAAGGUUAAAACUCAAAUGAAUUGACGGGGGCCCGCACAAGCGGUGGAGCAUGCGGUUUAAUUCGAUGCAACGCGAAGAACCUUACCUGGUCUUGACAUCCACGGAAGUUUUCAGAGAUGAGAAUGUGCCUUCGGGAACCGUGAGACAGGUGCUGCAUGGCUGUCGUCAGCUCGUGUUGUGAAAUGUUGGGUUAAGUCCCGCAACGAGCGCAACCCUUAUCCUUUGUUGCCAGCGGUCCGGCCGGGAACUCAAAGGAGACUGCCAGUGAUAAACUGGAGGAAGGUGGGGAUGACGUCAAGUCAUCAUGGCCCUUACGACCAGGGCUACACACGUGCUACAAUGGCGCAUACAAAGAGAAGCGACCUCGCGAGAGCAAGCGGACCUCAUAAAGUGCGUCGUAGUCCGGAUUGGAGUCUGCAACUCGACUCCAUGAAGUCGGAAUCGCUAGUAAUCGUGGAUCAGAAUGCCACGGUGAAUACGUUCCCGGGCCUUGUACACACCGCCCGUCACACCAUGGGAGUGGGUUGCAAAAGAAGUAGGUAGCUUAACCUUCGGGAGGGCGCUUACCACUUUGUGAUUCAUGACUGGGGUGAAGUCGAAACAAGGUA